UUUACCUUCGGGUGGGGAAUAACGUCUCGAAAGAGACGCUAAUACCGCAUGAUGCAGCGGCACCACAUGGUGACAGUUGUUAAAGCGGGGGAUCGCAAGACCUCGCGCCUGAAGAGAAGCCCGCGGCAGAUUAGCUAGUUGGUAAGGUAAUGGCUUACCAAGGCAACGAUCUGUAGCCGGCCUGAGAGGGCGGUCGGCCACACUGACACUGAAUAACGGGUCAG
This 224-nucleotide ribosomal RNA is filed under the name uncultured bacterium. Its description in RNAcentral is "partial 16S ribosomal RNA". It matches the Rfam family "Bacterial small subunit ribosomal RNA", at positions 125 to 334 of the family's 1533-position model. The record is from RNAcentral.